CAUGAACAGCUUUAAAACUGAUACAGCAAUAAGAGAAACCAAGAACACAAAAAGUUGGGCCAGGCUUAAUUGUCUUCUCUUCUCCCAUGCAGAAGGAACUUGCACUCUGAAUUCGAUCACCAGCCAGUGAACCAAAGACCUAACCCUGGGAGAAGACCUGGCAAUUCCCCCAAAGAAUUUCUAUCUGGGACCAUCUGAUCUGAUGGAAAUGGAGGCUUCCUGUCUUCUGUGUCUUUCUGGAGACAGCCUGAUCAAGAGGUGCUUAGAAAAGACAGAUGAAGAAAGAAGUGAGGGAGGAAGAGGUUAUGGUCAUGAGCUUCCCAAUGGAAUAUGGACCUCAGCAAGUAUUUUGUUCUAGAAAAUUCUGAUCCUGUUUCUUGAGAUCAUCUUUUGAAGACCAUUUCCAGGCCUACUUUGGCUUGGCUGAAGAUUAGAAAAAGAUUUAGGGAACGUUCCUGUCUUUUUGGUACCAGGUGAAAAAAAAUCAUACUUUUUCAGGCUGUUGUAUUGUUAUUUUAACAUGUGAGUUUUAUAUCUUGAGUUUUGUAUUUUACCCUUGCUCACCUCUGAAAUAUUCUAAUGAACAAAAUGAAGGCAUGCAACAUCAACUGAGCUGCCACAAAUUAAAAAUCACCUAUGGGUGACUCUUCCUUGAGAAAUUUGCCUCCGGUCUCUAAUUUU
Pantherophis guttatus is the source of this 681-nucleotide long non-coding RNA. RefSeq lists it as uncharacterized. NCBI's taxonomy places the organism in Eukaryota, Metazoa, Chordata, Lepidosauria, Squamata, Colubridae. The record is from RefSeq and is a predicted model, not a curated record.